GAACUAUCUGCCGGAGGAACCAUCAACAUCAUCUGCUACAGCUGCUGGUGAAGGGGAAUCGACAGAAAAUCAUAUCUCAAUAAUGGGUCUUGUCGAUGAGGCGAAAAAGCGUCUGAACGCGGAAAUCACCGAGCAGCAUAAUCGGAAUACGGCAAAUGCGAAAACUUC
Molecule: small RNA, 168 nt
Filed under: Caenorhabditis elegans
Lineage: Eukaryota; Metazoa; Nematoda; Chromadorea; Rhabditida; Rhabditidae
Description: Unclassified non-coding RNA Y48A6B.19
Source: RNAcentral